Molecule: long non-coding RNA, 1581 nt
Organism: Brassica napus (rape)
Lineage: Eukaryota; Viridiplantae; Streptophyta; Magnoliopsida; Brassicales; Brassicaceae
Exons: 2
Source: RefSeq, a predicted model, not a curated record
UUAAGUUUUUAAUCUUGUUCUAUUUGAUUUUCUGAGUUUUUGUUCGGAUUUGAGAAUUAAUUUUUUUAAAAAUCGAAUAGCGUUGAUCGAUGCUACUCUAGUGUCAUUAAUGUUGGUAUCUCAAGACACGGGCUCUUUAAAAAGCCUAGUCCUUUAAUUAUUUUCUCAAAACUCCUCUUCCUAAAAAAUUAAAAGGGUGAUUUCUCCCUCAAUCUCAAGUCGAUUUUGCUGAUUUCAAACCAUAACCCCCUCAAUUUUCACUCAUAUACUUGUUUAGUUCACUCAUUCAUCCGAUCUACAAGCAUCGAGAGAUACCCUGGUGACGUCGUUUGACGCUCCUUAUUCCAAGACGAAAGUUACUGACUUUUUGCGAGAGCUCGUAUGUACAUGGGCGAGACGUCUAGAUCAGCAGCACUGACACCACCUGUCAACACCUUAGCCAACAGAUUUUCUCAUUCAUGGCCUAAAGACGAGAAUGAGAAGCUCGCAGUUGAGCGUAACUAGGGGAUAGCCCCAAAGGAUAUAUAGUCUUUUCCAAGGGGUGGGAGGAUUAUGACACCAUGUUCUACAAUGAGUGGUUUCGGUUGAGAUUCACCCCACUCGGUUCGUUGACUUUGUCACGGUAUGGGCACUGAGAGGGACGUAGUGGCAUUGAUCAAGAGGCUUGGACUGAGAACCAUGGCGACUAAAUUCUAUGAUAUAUACCCUGAUAUGGUGAGAUAUUUAUGGUUUCUGUGUGGGUUUACUACAAGAAUCCAAACCUUAAGAGAGUGUACGAGGGUUCCAUCACUUUCUGCAUCCAGGAUAUAUGGCAUACGUGUCUAUCCCCGACUUGUGCGACAUCUAACGUUUUCCAGACCGUCAUGCUGUUGGCAUCACCAUACUAGACUCAUUCCAUUGUUAGUAUAAACUCUGAAGUUUAACUGGGAUAGGAGACUAUACGCCCAGUGGGACUAAUUUGACAAACAUUUGGCAUCUCACCUUGGGUUUCUUCGUGAAAGUAAUCAACAACACCAUUUGCUGCAAGAUGGAGCAAAAGAAGGUGAGAGUUCACAAAUUGUUUCUGUUGUAUCUUUCCAUCAAGCCUCUCAUUCAGGAUCAACUAUAACCACUGUAGUUUUUUCACAUGAUAAACUUGGAAGCCCUUUUUGCUGAGUACUUGGUUUCACUAAAGACCAAGCCUUUUACCGGACCAGGUGCAAGGAAGAAGUUUGUUGGGAGUCUUCUUACUCCCAUCUUCAUGCACCUUGGGAUUUCAACAGUAGGAUACCUACAAAGAGGGAGUGCUAGAUGAUAUUGGUGAUGAUGCAAGCCACACACCAGAGAACGCUCCUAGAGCAUUAGUAUGAGCCAGCCACGCACCAGAGCACGCUCCCCAUCACCAGCUGCUGAAGAGUCUGGAGAUAAUCCAGAGGAGUCAUAUGAGGUGGAUUAAGAGGAGUAGUCCAAUUUGUUUUUCUUUCCUUAUGUACUUUUUAUGUUUUUAUCAAAUCAGUUGAACUUCAUCUAUUUUUACUUCUACGCUUUAGGAUGAUCAAAAUUUGGUAUUAUCUAUGAUUAUGUUGCUAUUUAUUUAAGUUA